Molecule: ribosomal RNA, 430 nt
Filed under: uncultured bacterium
Lineage: Bacteria
Description: bacterial SSU rRNA
Rfam family: Bacterial small subunit ribosomal RNA
Source: RNAcentral
GCCGGGUUCGCCCGGCUUCUAGUGGCGAACGGUCGAGUAACACGUAGACAACCUGCCUCCAGGUGGGGAACAACAGUGGGAAACUGCUGCUAAUACCGCAUGUGGUGGGGAAGGGCCUCCUUUCUCAACUAAAGGAGCAAUUCGCCUGGAGAUGGGUCUGCGGCCUAUCAGGUAGUUGGUGGGGUAACGGCCUACCAAGCCGACGACGGGUAGCUGGUCUGAGAGGAUGAUCAGCCGGACGGGGACUGAGACACGGCCCCGACUCCUUCGGGAGGCAGCAAUGAGGGAUAUUGCGCAAUGGGGGAAACCCUGACGCAGCGACGCCGCGUGGGUGAGGAAGUCCUUCGGGAUGUAAAGCCCUUUUGUCGGGGACGAGAACGGACGGUACCCGACGAAUAAGCCCCGGCUAACUACGUGCCAGCCGCCGCGG